AUGUUAGCGGCGGACGGGUGAGUAACACGUGGGUAACCUACCUAUAAGACUGGGAUAACUCCGGGAAACCGGGGCUAAUACCGGAUAAUAUUUUGAACCGCAUGGUUCAAUAGUGAAAGACGGUUUCGGCUGUCACUUAUAGAUGGACCCGCGCCGUAUUAGCUAGUUGGUAAGGUAACGGCUUACCAAGGCGACGAUACGUAGCUGACCUGAGAGGGUGAUCGGCCACACUGGAACUGAGACACGGUCCAGACUCCUACGGGAGGCAGCAGAA
This 274-nucleotide ribosomal RNA is filed under the name uncultured Staphylococcus sp. RNAcentral's name for it is "partial 16S ribosomal RNA". It matches the Rfam family "Bacterial small subunit ribosomal RNA", at positions 89 to 354 of the family's 1533-position model. The record is from RNAcentral. Lineage: Bacteria; Bacillati; Bacillota; Bacilli; Caryophanales; Staphylococcaceae.